Molecule: long non-coding RNA, 937 nt
Organism: Carassius gibelio (silver crucian carp)
Lineage: Eukaryota; Metazoa; Chordata; Actinopteri; Cypriniformes; Cyprinidae
Exons: 3
Source: RefSeq, a predicted model, not a curated record
UUUCUUUUGACUUUUGUGUCAGCAAUGCAUUAAUAGUAAACCAUCAAUGGUUAAAAAUGGUAAAAACCUCCCACUUCAGAUCUAUUAGACCUACGGUGAAAUUUUUGUUUUGAAACGACGAAGCCCGAACAGAUCAUGUGCAUUUGUUUGUUCAGGAUGGGAAAUGUUGCUCAAGCGAUCUGUUUGAGCUGCUGUUUGAUACAUUUUAGUCAUUGGUCUGUAAUCGAAAAGGCCAUGCGCUCGGUUAGAUAUAUGCAGCGGGUGAGUUUAGACUUCACAGGAACUAUCUUUCCUCACGCCAUCUGUCUUGGAGAUGCAGAUAACGACUCACUGGUGCUGGGAGACACUAGUAGGAAGCUGUACAUCUAUAAAAAUGAUGACUGACUGUAAACCCUGGAUCACGAGGACAUGUGUGGGCAUGUCCAGAAGGUCUCCCUGAAUUGGCCCGGCUGUGGCUAUGCAGUUCUGAGGUGCUCAUGGACACAAGAGGGCGCUGCAGGACCUAGGGAUGAAAGCACAGCAACUCUUAGCAGGUGAGAGAAUCACAACGAGGGUUAAUGUUAUAGCAGUGCUGAAUAAUCCAGAGCAGAACUGGUUUUUGGAAUAACUCUGCUUGUGUAUGUCCUUCCAGAGAGGUUGUCCUUCAUUUUACUACCGGACGCAUCCAUAACAAGAACGUGUCCACUCAUUUGAUAGGCAGCAUUUGCAGAGGUUCUGAGAAAGCAUGCUGUCACAUAUUUAGAUUGCAUACUGCACAUGCAUAUCUUUAUCAACUUUGCAGCCGGCUGAAUAAAGUAUGCAGAUUAAAUAAUAAGAUUCAGUCACCAGCAGUUCAGAUUGUUUCCUUGCAUUUUGACAUCAUAAAUAAGGAUCGUCAUUGUUUGAUGAAUAAUUGUGCAUGCUAACCACCCCUCCCCCAUUAAAUUUGCUGUCAUCU